GGCGGGGUAGCUCAAUGGCAGAGCAAAGUCAUCAUAAGGCUGAGGUUGCGGGUUCGACUCCCGCCCCCGCUA
RNAcentral lists this transfer RNA (72 nucleotides) under Candidatus Collierbacteria bacterium. RNAcentral's name for it is "tRNA-Met". It matches the Rfam family "tRNA". From Rfam's summary of the family: Transfer RNA (tRNA) molecules are approximately 80 nucleotides in length. Their secondary structure includes four short double-helical elements and three loops (D, anti-codon, and T loops). The record is from RNAcentral. Lineage: Bacteria; Candidatus Collieribacteriota.